GAGAAGACGAGGCUAAGAGGCUAAAGCCCUACCCCUUUUGAAAGGUAAGACCUCAGGCCGAAAGGCGUAGUCGAUGGACAACAGGUGAAUAUUGCUGUGCUACCCCUUGUUGGUCCCGAGGGACGGAGGAGGUUAGGUUAGUCGAAAGGUGGUUUAUCGGUUCAAGGACGCAAGGUGACCUUGCUUUUUUUUUUCUGGGUAAGAGGGGGUAGAGGAAAUGCCUCGAGCCAAUGUCCGAGUACCAGGCUCUACUGCGCUGAAGUAACCCAAGCCAUACUCCCAGGAAAAGCUCAAACGACCUUCAAUAAAAGGGUGCCUGUACCCGAAACCAACACCGGUGGGUAGGUAGAGAAUACCUA
RNAcentral lists this non-coding RNA (359 nucleotides) under Amborella trichopoda. RNAcentral's name for it is "Bacterial large subunit ribosomal RNA". It matches the Rfam family "Bacterial large subunit ribosomal RNA", at positions 1339 to 1684 of the family's 2925-position model. Lineage: Eukaryota; Viridiplantae; Streptophyta; Magnoliopsida; Amborellales; Amborellaceae. The record is from Rfam by way of RNAcentral.